ACGGGAGGCAGCAGUGGGGAAUAUUGGACAAUGGGGGAAACCCCGAUCCAGCGACGCCGCGUGAGUGAAGAAGUAUUUCGGUAUGUAAAGCUCUAUCAGCAGGGAAGAUAAUGACGGUACCUGACUAAGAAGCCCCGGCUAACUACGUGCCAGCAGCCGCGGUAAUACGUAGGGGGCAAGCGUUAUCCGGAUUUACUGGGUGUAAAGGGAGCGUAGACGGAAGGCCAAGUCUGAUGUGAAAACCCAGGGCUCAACCCUGGGACUGCAUUGGAAACUGGUCAUCUAGAGUGCAGGAGGGGUAAGCGGAAUUCCUAGUGUAGCGGUGAAAUGCGUAGAUAUUAGGAGGAACACCGGUGGCGAAGGCGGCUUACUGGACUGUAACUGACGUUGAGGCUCGAAAGCGUGGGGAGCAAACAGGAUUAGAUACCCUGGUA
Molecule: ribosomal RNA, 434 nt
Filed under: uncultured Lachnospiraceae bacterium
Lineage: Bacteria; Bacillati; Bacillota; Clostridia; Lachnospirales; Lachnospiraceae
Description: partial 16S ribosomal RNA
Rfam family: Bacterial small subunit ribosomal RNA
Source: RNAcentral